GGGCCUGUGGCUCAGCGGAAGAGCCUCUGCGAUCCAUGCAGAAGCGCCCAGGUUCAAUUCCCGGCACCUCCA
This 72-nucleotide transfer RNA is filed under the name Sphaerodactylus townsendi. RNAcentral's name for it is "tRNA-Gly". It matches the Rfam family "tRNA". From Rfam's summary of the family: Transfer RNA (tRNA) molecules are approximately 80 nucleotides in length. Lineage: Eukaryota; Metazoa; Chordata; Lepidosauria; Squamata; Sphaerodactylidae. The record is from RNAcentral.